Peromyscus leucopus (white-footed mouse) is the source of this 807-nucleotide long non-coding RNA. RefSeq lists it as uncharacterized. NCBI's taxonomy places the organism in Eukaryota, Metazoa, Chordata, Mammalia, Rodentia, Cricetidae. The record is from RefSeq and is a predicted model, not a curated record. The transcript has 2 exons.
UGUUCCUUCUUCCCAAGCAGCCUGAAGCCACCAGCUUGUGUGCUCAGGGCCACAGGUGUGGCUUUCCUGGAGCCAAAAUAACGCUUCAAGCUUGCCUAGCCCAGGACUCUGUGUUCCCACUUGCUGCCCAGCUCCCCACCCCAGCAUGCCUGGCUGCUCCCCAGGAAACAGGGCAAACAAGCUUCUAUUGAUUGCCGUCAUGGCUGGGAGAAUGCGCCUUUGUUGCCUCCACGCCUCCUCCCCCAGGGUCCGUGCCCACAGGACAGGUGUUCAGGCUGUGAGAUUCUGGUCUUCAGAUGCCAGCCUGACCCUAAUCUCCUUCCUCAUCUUCUCUUCGAUGUGACACUCCACUCCCAGGGCGUCAUCAAGGCAGACGUUCUGUCCUCUGUGUUCCUGCCCGUGAUGUGCCAGAGUAGAUGAACACAUCCACGGGAGCCCAUUCGGGACAAGGACGUGCAAGAGUGGACACGGCCUUCUCCUCUUGCGAGGGGGCCCCCCGCCAUGAGAAUCCAGAAGGACAUCGCUGUGACACUAACUUCAGUGAACCGGCAGUCAUCAAGAAGAACCAGGGACCAGUGCUCAUUCCAGGGCUGUGCACUGUACAUCUCAUUGUUUCCCUGGGCACAUGGUGUCAGGGAUUCAGAAAUAUUACAGAGGCCUUGGCUGCUUGCAAAACUGUGAUGCCUUGCUGGCACCAGCCGGUUUUAAACCUUUUCCUUUUGGGUUAGAUUUGGGAUGUCAGCAGUAAUAACAAUCAACAGUAGCUGCUUUACCAACUACAAAUAAAGUCUCUCGUCUUUCUACUGA